CCUUCGGGGUUGAUGACUAGAAGGAACGAGCGGCGGAUGGGUGAGUAACACAUGGGCAACCUGCCUGUAAGACAGGGAUAACUCGCGGAAACGUGAGCUAAUACCGGAUAAAACUUUAUCAUCGCAUGGUGGAAAGAUGAAAGGUGGCGCAAGCUACCACUUACAGAUGGGCCCGUGGCGCAUUAGCUAGUUGGUGAGGUAAAAGCUUACCAAGGCGACGAUGCGUAGCCGACCUGAGAGGGUGAUCGGCCACACUGGGACUGAGACACGGCCCAGACUCCUACGGGAGGCAGCAGUAGGGAAUCUUCCGCAAUGGACGCAAGUCUGACGGAGCAACGCCGCGUGAGUGAAGAAGGUCUUCGGAUCGUAAAACUCUGUACGUCAGGGAAGAACCAGUACGGAUCGAAUAGGUCAGUACCCUGACGGUACCUAACCAGAAAGCGCGGCUAAAUACGUGCCAGCAGCCGCGGUAAUACGUAGGGGGCAAGCGUUGUCCGGAAUUAUUGGGCGUAAAGGGCGCGCAGGCUGUAUUCUUAAGUCUGAUGUGAAAUCUCAUGGCUCAGCCAUGAGCGGUCAUUGGAAACUGAGGAACUGGAGUGCAGACGAGGAGAGUGUAAUCCACGUGGAGCGGUGAUAUGCGUAGAGAUGUGGAGGACAGCUAGUGGCGAAGGCGACUCUCUGANCAGUAACUGACGCUGAUGAGCGAAUGCGUUGGGAGCCAACAGGAUAGAUCCCUGGUGUUCACGCCGUACCGAUAGUCUACGGGUACGGGUUUCGCCCUUAUUCUGAGUUACGCAUAGCACUGCCCUGGGAAUCGCCCUA
This 822-nucleotide ribosomal RNA is filed under the name uncultured bacterium. Its description in RNAcentral is "bacterial SSU rRNA". It matches the Rfam family "Bacterial small subunit ribosomal RNA", at positions 77 to 888 of the family's 1533-position model. The record is from RNAcentral.